GAUGAACGCUAGCGAUAGGCUUAACACAUGCAAGUCGAGGGGCAGCAUGGUCUUAGCUUGCUAAGACUGAUGGCGACCGGCGCACGGGUGCGUAACGCGUAUGCAACUUGCCUCACAGAGGGGGAUAACCCGUCGAAAGACGGACUAAUACCGCGUACACUUGGGAUAGGGCAUCCUGACCCAAGGAAAUGAAAUUCGCUGUGAGAUAGGCAUGCGUCCCAUUAGCUAGUUGGUGAGGUAACGGCUCACCAAGGCGACGAUGGGUAGGGGAACUGAGAGGUUGAACCCCCACACUGGUACUGAGACACGGACCAGGCUCCUACGGGAGGCAGCAGUGAGGAAUAUUAGUCAAUGGGCGAGAGCCUGAACCAGCCAAGUCGCGUGAAGGAUGACUGUCUUAUGGAUUGUAAACUUCUUUUAAACGGGAAUAACAAGAGUCACGUGUGGCUCCCUGCAUGUACCGUAUGAAUAAGCAUCGGCUAACUCCGUG
RNAcentral lists this ribosomal RNA (490 nucleotides) under uncultured bacterium. RNAcentral describes it as "partial 16S ribosomal RNA". It matches the Rfam family "Bacterial small subunit ribosomal RNA", at positions 28 to 507 of the family's 1533-position model. The record is from RNAcentral.